This 1176-nucleotide ribosomal RNA is filed under the name Salmonella enterica. RNAcentral's name for it is "bacterial LSU rRNA". It matches the Rfam family "Bacterial large subunit ribosomal RNA", at positions 1 to 1211 of the family's 2925-position model. RNAcentral also lists the same sequence under 1 other name. Lineage: Bacteria; Pseudomonadati; Pseudomonadota; Gammaproteobacteria; Enterobacterales; Enterobacteriaceae. The record is from RNAcentral.
GGGUUGUGAGGUUAAGCGACUAAGCGUACACGGUGGAUGCCCUGGCAGUCAGAGGCGAUGAAGGGCGUGCUAAUCUGCGAUAAGCGCCGGUAAGGUGAUAUGAACCGUUAUAACCGGCGAUACCCGAAUGGGGAAACCCAGUGUGACUCGUCACACUAUCAUUAACUGAAUCCAUAGGUUAAUGAGGCGAACCGGGGGAACUGAAACAUCUAAGUACCCCGAGGAAAAGAAAUCAACCGAGAUUCCCCCAGUAGCGGCGAGCGAACGGGGAGGAGCCCAGAGCCUGAAUCAGCAUGUGUGUUAGUGGAAGCGUCUGGAAAGGCGCGCGAUACAGGGUGACAGCCCCGUACACAAAAGCGCAUGUGCUGUGAGCUCGAUGAGUAGGGCGGGACACGUGAUAUCCUGUCUGAAUAUGGGGGGACCAUCCUCCAAGGCUAAAUACUCCUGACUGACCGAUAGUGAACCAGUACCGUGAGGGAAAGGCGAAAAGAACCCCGGCGAGGGGAGUGAAAAAGAACCUGAAACCGUGUACGUACAAGCAGUGGGAGCACCCUUGGGUGUGACUGCGUACCUUUUGUAUAAUGGGUCAGCGACUUAUAUUCUGUAGCAAGGUUAACCGUAUAGGGGAGCCGAAGGGAAACCGAGUCUUAACCGGGCGUUAAGUUGCAGGGUAUAGACCCGAAACCCGGUGAUCUAGCCAUGGGCAGGUUGAAGGUUGGGUAACACUAACUGGAGGACCGAACCGACUAAUGUUGAAAAAUUAGCGGAUGACCUGUGGCUGGGGGUGAAAGGCCAAUCAAACCGGGAGAUAGCUGGUUCUCCCCGAAAGCUAUUUAGGUAGCGCCUCGUGAAUUCAUCUCCGGGGGUAGAGCACUGUUUCGGCUAGGGGGCCAUCCCGGCUUACCAACCCGAUGCAAACUGCGAAUACCGGAGAAUGUUAUCACGGGAGACACACGGCGGGUGCUAACGUCCGUCGUGAAGAGGGAAACAACCCAGACCGCCAGCUAAGGUCCCAAAGUCAUGGUUAAGUGGGAAACGAUGUGGGAAGGCCCAGACAGCCAGGAUGUUGGCUUAGAAGCAGCCAUCAUUUAAAGAAAGCGUAAUAGCUCACUGGUCGAGUCGGCCUGCGCGGAAGAUGUAACGGGGCUAAACCAUGCACCGAAGCUGCGGCAGCGA